AAGUCGUAACAAGGUUGCCGUAGGUGAACCUGCGGCAGGAUCAUUACAAGGCACGAAGGCGAUAGCCUGAGUGCAUGUAUGCAGGCGAUAGCCUGACUACACCCAUCCCAGUGUGAACACUUUUGAUUAACUAUCAUACAGUACGACCACAUACAAUAAACAUAAUCUAUACAACUUUCAACAAUGGAUCUCUUGGUUCUC
RNAcentral lists this unclassified non-coding RNA (201 nucleotides) under fungal sp. RNAcentral's name for it is "partial internal transcribed spacer region". The stretch from base 1 to 46 matches the Rfam family "Eukaryotic small subunit ribosomal RNA", at positions 1786 to 1831 of the family's 1831-position model. The record is from RNAcentral. Lineage: Eukaryota; Fungi.